Long non-coding RNA from Ochlerotatus camptorhynchus, 247 nucleotides. RefSeq lists it as uncharacterized. The transcript has 3 exons. The record is from RefSeq and is a predicted model, not a curated record. Lineage: Eukaryota; Metazoa; Arthropoda; Insecta; Diptera; Culicidae.
CCCAACGAACUUCGACGAAGUAACUGAGUUCAUCCAAGAACUUGGAUUGGCGCAAGUAGUCAAAGACGAGGAAGGAACUACUCUCGUAUUCACGGAAGCAGUGAAUAGUAUUCCGCUGGUGCAAUCAUCACCAUUUGACCCAAAUUUGACAGCUGCUCCAUCCAGUGCUGACCAAUUCUUCGGUGAACCAUCGAAACCACCAUUUCAUACUGAGACUACAACAAUCGUCGAUGCACCCAAAUUAAAC